CCUAACACAUGCAAGUCGAACGGUAACAGGAAACAGCUUGCUGUUUCGCUGACGAGUGGCGGACGGGUGAGUAAUGUCUGGGAAACUGCCCGAUGGAGGGGGAUAACUACUGGAAACGGUAGCUAAUACCGCAUAACGUCGCAAGACCAAAGAGGGGGACCUUCGGGCCUCUUGCCAUCAGAUGUGCCCAGAUGGGAUUAGCCAGUAGGUGGGGUAACGGCUCACCUAGGCGACGAUCCCUAGCUGGUCUGAGAGGAUGACCAGCCACACUGGAACUGAGACACGGUCCAGACUCCUACGGGAGGCAGCAGUGGGGAAUAUUGCACAAUGGGCGCAAGCCUGAUGCAGCCAUGCCGCGUGUAUGAAGAAGGCCUUCGGGUUGUAAAGACUUUCAGCGGGGAGGAAGGGAGUAAAGUUAAUACCUUUGCUCAUUGACGUUACCCGCAGAAGAAGCACCGGCUAACUCCGUGCCAGCAGCCGCGGUAAUACGGAGGGUGCAAGCGUUAAUCGGAAUUACUGGGCGUAAAGCGCACGCAGGCGGUUUGUUAAGUCAGAUGUGAAAUCCCCGGGCUCAACCUGGGAACUGCAUCUGAUACUGGCAAGCUUG
RNAcentral lists this ribosomal RNA (607 nucleotides) under uncultured bacterium. Its description in RNAcentral is "bacterial SSU rRNA". It matches the Rfam family "Bacterial small subunit ribosomal RNA", at positions 47 to 644 of the family's 1533-position model. The record is from RNAcentral.